Molecule: small nuclear RNA, 24 nt
Filed under: Arabidopsis thaliana (thale cress)
Lineage: Eukaryota; Viridiplantae; Streptophyta; Magnoliopsida; Brassicales; Brassicaceae
Description: snRNA_07707
Source: RNAcentral
CUCUAUUUUUUAAGGGAGGAAGCC